RNAcentral lists this ribosomal RNA (491 nucleotides) under uncultured bacterium. RNAcentral's name for it is "partial 16S ribosomal RNA". It matches the Rfam family "Bacterial small subunit ribosomal RNA", at positions 29 to 506 of the family's 1533-position model. The record is from RNAcentral.
AGUGAACGCUGGCGGUAGGCCUAACACAUGCAAGUCGAACGGCAGCACAGUAAGAGCUUGCUCUUACGGGUGGCGAGUGGCGGACGGGUGAGGAAUACAUCGGAAUCUACUUUUUCGUGGGGGAUAACGUAGGGAAACUUACGCUAAUACCGCAUACGACCUACGGGUGAAAGCAGGGGAUCUUCGGACCUUGCGCGAUUGUAUGAGCCGAUGUCGGAUUAGCUAGUUGGCGGGGUAAAGGCCCACCAAGGCGACGAUCCGUAGCUGGUCUGAGAGGAUGAUCAGCCACACUGGAACUGAGACACGGUCCAGACUCCUACGGGAGGCAGCAGUGGGGAAUAUUGGACAGUGGGCGCAAGCCUGAUCCAGCCAUACCGCGUGGGUGAAGAAGGCCUUCGGGUUGUAAAGCCCUUUUGUUGGGAAAGAAAAGCAGCAGGUUAAUACCCCGCUGUUCUGACGGUACCCAAAGAAUAAGCACCGGCUAACUUCGU